AUUGAACGCUGGCGGCAUGCUUUACACAUGCAAGUCGAACGGCAGCGCGGGCUUCGGCCUGGCGGCGAGUGGCGAACGGGUGAGUAAUGCAUCGGAACGUGCCCAGUAGUGGGGGAUAGCCCGGCGAAAGCCGGAUUAAUACCGCAUACCACCUGCGGGUGAAAGCGGGCGAUCGAAACGCCUUGCGCUCUUGGUGCGGCCGAUGUCGGAUUAGCUAGUUGGUGGGGUAAAGGCUUACCAAGGCGACGAUCCGUAGCUGGUCUGAGAGGACGACCAGCCACACUGGGACUGAGACACGGCCCAGACUCCUACGGGAGGCAGCAGUGGGGAAUUUUGGACAAUGGGGGCAACCCUGAUCCAGCCAUGCCGCGUGCGGGAAGAAGGCCUUCGGGUUGUAAACCGCUUUUGUUCGAGAAGAAAUCCUCUGGGCUAAUACCCCGGGGGGAUGACGGUACCGGAAGAAUAAGCACCGGCUAACUACGUG
RNAcentral lists this ribosomal RNA (484 nucleotides) under uncultured bacterium. RNAcentral describes it as "partial 16S ribosomal RNA". It matches the Rfam family "Bacterial small subunit ribosomal RNA", at positions 28 to 507 of the family's 1533-position model. The record is from RNAcentral.